UACGUAGGGUGCAAGCGUUGUCCGGAAUUAUUGGGCGUAAAGCGCGCGCAGGCGGCACAUUAAGUAAGGUGUGAAAUCUCCAGGCUCAACCUGGAGGGGUCAUUCGAUACUGCCGUGACUAGAGGUCGGUAGGGGAGUGUGGAAUUCCUGGUGGAGCGGUGAAAUGCGCAGAUAUCAGGAGGAACACCCGUAGCGAAGGCGGCACUCUGGGCCGAUACUGACACUGAGGAGCGAAAGCGUGGGGAGCGAACAGG
RNAcentral lists this ribosomal RNA (254 nucleotides) under uncultured bacterium. RNAcentral's name for it is "partial 16S ribosomal RNA". It matches the Rfam family "Bacterial small subunit ribosomal RNA", at positions 524 to 776 of the family's 1533-position model. The record is from RNAcentral.